RNAcentral lists this ribosomal RNA (253 nucleotides) under uncultured bacterium. RNAcentral describes it as "partial 16S ribosomal RNA". It matches the Rfam family "Bacterial small subunit ribosomal RNA", at positions 524 to 776 of the family's 1533-position model. The record is from RNAcentral.
UACAGAGGGUGCAAGCGUUAAUCGGAAUUACUGGGCGUAAAGCGUGCGUAGACGGUUACAUAAGUCGGGUGUGAAAGCCCCGGGCUCAACCUGGGAAUUGCAUUCGAGACUGCGUAGCUAGGGUGCGGAAGAGGGAAGCGGAAUUUCCGGUGUAGCGGUGAAAUGCGUAGAUAUCGGAAGGAACACCAGUGGCGAAGGCGGCACUCUGGGCCGGAACUGACGCUGAGGAGCGAAAGCGUGGGGGGCGAACAGG